AAGUCGUAACAAGGUUUCCGUAGGUGAACCUGCGGAAGGAUCAUUAUUGAAUUUUAAACUGAGUGGGGUUGUUGCUGGCCUAUAUGGGCAUGUGCACACCUCAUUUUAUCCAACCUUUACCCCACUGUGCACUUUCUCAUGGGCUGAAUAUUUGCAAAGUUGUUCUUAAUUGAGCAAUGGAAGCGAUGUUUGUUCCAUGUGUUUUUAAUACAAUACACAUAUUUGUUAUAGAAUGUAAACAUGCAGUGCAUUUAAUGCAUAUAAUAUAACUUUCAGCAACGGAUCUCUUGGCUCUC
RNAcentral lists this unclassified non-coding RNA (296 nucleotides) under Loweomyces fractipes. Its description in RNAcentral is "partial internal transcribed spacer region". The stretch from base 1 to 46 matches the Rfam family "Eukaryotic small subunit ribosomal RNA", at positions 1786 to 1831 of the family's 1831-position model. Lineage: Eukaryota; Fungi; Basidiomycota; Agaricomycetes; Polyporales; Steccherinaceae. The record is from RNAcentral.